This 251-nucleotide ribosomal RNA is filed under the name uncultured bacterium. RNAcentral describes it as "partial 16S ribosomal RNA". It matches the Rfam family "Bacterial small subunit ribosomal RNA", at positions 524 to 774 of the family's 1533-position model. The record is from RNAcentral.
UACGUAGGGUGCGAGCGUUAAUCGGAAUUACUGGGCGUAAAGGGUGUGCAGGCGGCUGAGUAAGACAGAUGUGAAAUCCCCGGGCUUAACCUGGGAACCGCAUAUGUGACUGCUUGGCUAGAGUGCGUCAGAGGGAGGUGGAAUUCCACGUGUAGCAGUGAAAUGCGUAGAUAUGUGGAAGAACACCGAUGGCGAAGGCAGCCUCCUGGGACGCAACUGACGCUCAUACACGAAAGCGUGGGGAGCAAACA